Sinocyclocheilus anshuiensis is the source of this 157-nucleotide long non-coding RNA. RefSeq lists it as uncharacterized. NCBI's taxonomy places the organism in Eukaryota, Metazoa, Chordata, Actinopteri, Cypriniformes, Cyprinidae. The transcript is spliced from 3 exons. The record is from RefSeq and is a predicted model, not a curated record.
AGUGGUGACUGUCAAGGUGCAAUGAUUAUAUGUUGUGAUCAAACUUAUAGGAAAAUUUGGUCGUUUUCUAUGUUGGUUCAGGGUUGGCGUCAUCUGAGGUCCUCGGUGGGGUUGGCAUCUUCUCUUCUCAGGUGUCUGGUUCCAGACUGAAGCUUUA